RNAcentral lists this transfer RNA (75 nucleotides) under Dehalococcoidia bacterium. RNAcentral's name for it is "tRNA-Pro". It matches the Rfam family "tRNA". Rfam says of the family: Transfer RNA (tRNA) molecules are approximately 80 nucleotides in length. Their secondary structure includes four short double-helical elements and three loops (D, anti-codon, and T loops). Lineage: Bacteria; Bacillati; Chloroflexota; Dehalococcoidia. The record is from RNAcentral.
CGGGGUGUAGCGCAGGGGUAGCGCGCGUCGUUCGGCACGACGAGACCGGAGGUUCAAAUCCGCUCACUCCGACCA